GGCGAACGGGUGAGUAACACGUGAGCAACCUACCCUCAACUUUGGGAUAAGCCUCGGAAACGGGGUCUAAUACCGGAUAAUACUGACAGUUUCAUGAUUGUUGGUUGAAAGUUCUGGCGGUUGGGGAUGGGCUCGCGGCCUAUCAGCUUGUUGGUGGGGUAAUGGCCUACCAAGGCGUCGACGGGUAGCCGGCCUGAGAGGGCGACCGGCCACACUGGGACUGAGACACGGCCCAGACUCCUACGGGAGGCAGCAGUGGGGAAUAUUGCGCAAUGGACGAAAGUCUGACGCAGCAACGCCGCGUGAGGGAUGACGGCCUUCGGGUUGUAAACCUCUUUCAGCAGGGACGAAGCGAGAGUGACGGUACCUGCAGAAGAAGGACCGGCCAACUACGUGCCAGCAGCCGCGGUAAUACGUAGGGUCCGAGCGUUGUCCGGAAUUAUUGGGCGUAAAGGGCUCGUAGGCGGUUCGUCACGUCGGGAGUGAAAACUCGGGGCUUAACCCCGAGCCUGCUUCCGAUACGGGCAGACUAGAGGUAGGCAGGGGAGAGCGGAACUCCUGGUGUAGCGGUGGAAUGCGCAGAUAUCAGGAAGAACACCGGUGGCGAAGGCGGCUCUCUGGGCCUUACCUGACGCUGAGGA
This 641-nucleotide ribosomal RNA is filed under the name Kribbella sp. I13A-01701. RNAcentral's name for it is "bacterial SSU rRNA". It matches the Rfam family "Bacterial small subunit ribosomal RNA", at positions 97 to 752 of the family's 1533-position model. The record is from RNAcentral. Lineage: Bacteria; Bacillati; Actinomycetota; Actinomycetes; Propionibacteriales; Kribbellaceae.